RNAcentral lists this ribosomal RNA (253 nucleotides) under uncultured bacterium. Its description in RNAcentral is "partial 16S ribosomal RNA". It matches the Rfam family "Bacterial small subunit ribosomal RNA", at positions 524 to 776 of the family's 1533-position model. The record is from RNAcentral.
UACAGAGGGGGCAAGCGUUAUUCGGAAUUAUUGGGCGUAAAGGGCUCGUAGGCGGCCAACUAAGUCAGACGUGAAAUCCCUCGGCUUAACCGGGGAACUGCCUCUGAUACUGGAUGGCUUGAGAUUGGGAGAGGGAUGCGGAAUUCCAGGUGUAGCGGUGAAAUGCGUAGAUAUCUGGAGGAACACCGGUGGCGAAGGCGGCAUCCUGGACCGGCAUUGACGCUGAGGAGCGAAAGCCAGGGGAGCAAACGGG